This is a non-coding RNA of Mycena epipterygia, 91 nucleotides long. The record is from the annotation of a GenBank genome assembly. Lineage: Eukaryota; Fungi; Basidiomycota; Agaricomycetes; Agaricales; Mycenaceae.
GGCCCGGUAGCGGAUGGUCUGCGCCCGUGAUUUAUGUAAGGUCGUGCAACAAGUAUUACGCGAGUCGCUCGUUCGAUUCGAGCCCGGGCCA